UGGCGGACGGGUGAGUAACACGUGAGCAACCUGCCUUUCAGAGGGGGAUAACGUUUGGAAACGAACGCUAAUACCGCAUAAAAUAUCGGAGUCGCAUGGCACUGAUAUCAAAGGAGCAAUCCGCUGAAAGAUGGGCUCGCGUCCGAUUAGGCAGUUGGCGGGGUAACGGCCCACCAAACCGACAAUCGGUAGCCGGACUGAGAGGUUGAACGGCCACAUUGGGACUGAGACACGGCCCAGACUCCUACGGAAGGCAGCAG
RNAcentral lists this ribosomal RNA (260 nucleotides) under uncultured bacterium. Its description in RNAcentral is "partial 16S ribosomal RNA". It matches the Rfam family "Bacterial small subunit ribosomal RNA", at positions 96 to 354 of the family's 1533-position model. The record is from RNAcentral.